UGACUUUCGACCUGCGCUGGGGUGUGCUGU
Molecule: non-coding RNA, 30 nt
Filed under: Rattus norvegicus (Norway rat)
Lineage: Eukaryota; Metazoa; Chordata; Mammalia; Rodentia; Muridae
Source: RNAcentral